CUGACGUGGGGCUCGAACCCACACACCUUAAGAUCAUGACCCGAGCCGAAGUUGAAUGCUUAACCGACUGAGACCCCCCGGUGCCCCUCUCCCUCUCCUUAUAAGAGCCACCAGUCCUACCGGAUUAGAUUGCUCCAACAUGGCCUCAUCUAACCCUAAUUACCUCCUAAAGGCCCCAUCUCCAAAUAUAGCCACGCCGGGGGUUAGGGCCUCAACCUCUGAAUUUUGGUGGGGCCCAGUCCAGUCCCCAGCACCACCCAUUAGAAAGAGGAGCCAGCCAGCAGCCCAGUCUCGAAUGCAGGCGGUCACACAGAGCUCCGUCCCUGGCUCAGUCCCAAACCCUCCCACCAGAAUCCUAGAACCAGAGCGCCUGCGAGCAGAAGCCGGCAGAGCUGCGUGCGCUCAACUGUGCGUCAAUCAGGGAGCUUAGCUGAAGCAGCUGAAGUUAAUUUUGCUCAUUAAAGCCAAGCGGAAAUGCAUUAAAUGCUACGGAGCAGCUCACAGGACGGGCCAGACAUCUAGGUCUGGAGGCUGCGGGGCCGGGAGCGCUGUUCGACGUCGCUCUGCAGAGCUGUCCCGGGGCAGGCACCUGGGACGGUGGGAACGGACACCUCCACGUGUGCUAGUGACCCCGAUAGUGAAUGGCUGGCCACUGCGGCUUGAGCCCAACCCUGGAAGCCGCUAGAACUGCCACGAAGUAGAACGGGAUUAUCCGAAGCCUGUUUUUUUUUUUUUUUUUUUUUCCCCUACACACCAGGAGUAGAAUUCAGAAUAAUUUUGCUCCACCAAAAGAGACACUUGUGUAAAAUUCUCAGGGUGCAGAGUCCUAGCUGGCCCUGCUCCCAUGAGAGAGGGCGGUGAGCAACAGAGUGCAACCCUACUCAUCCUUCCAGGCCUGAUGUAGAUGUCGCCACCUCCAGGAAGCCCUCUCUGACUGUGCCAGGUGGAACUGGCUUCUCCUUCCCGAUGUUUGCGCCUCCCUUGCCUCUCAGGAGCGGUGACCGUGAACGUGGGGGUGGAAGGAGCCCAGCCUGACCCUUUGCAGAUCCACGUUGGAGUCCUGGGCCCAUCACCUACCGAUUCCACAAGGUCCUCAGCACCUGUGCUGCGGGGGAGGGAUGCCAACCCUGUCCUAAGACCCUCACCAUUCACACUGUCACCCUCAAAAAGUUAUUCCAACAGCAGCCGAGACUGUGGCUGUCACAGGGCGUUAUCUGGGCCAUCUUUCCUGGAUCCCAGGGCCCGGACCCCAGAGGUGCUGGCGCUGUCCCACGCACGUGGCUUCAUGCCCAGCGCCAAACCCAAUGUGGGGCUUGAACUCAGGACCCCAAGAUCAAGACCUGACCUGAGAUCAAGAGUCGGAUGCUCAACUGACCGAGCCACCCAGGGGCACCCAGGUGCCCCGGGACUUUUCACUUUGUGAGUGUACAUAUAAUUUAGAGUGAAGGUGUGUGUCCCCACAAAACACGGGUGUUGCACUAACCCUGGAGGGGAAUGUAUUAGGAGGUGGGGCCUUCGGGAGGUCACGAGGUCAUGAGGGUGAAGCCCCUGCACGUGGGAUUAGUGCUCUUAUCAAAGAAGCUCCCGAGAGCCCCCUUCUUCUUCUGUCCUCUGAGGACCCAGUGAGAAGAUGGCCGUCUACCAAUCAGGAAGCAGUCCUCAUUGGACACUGAAUCUGCAGGGACCUUGAUCUUGGAGUUGCAGCCUCCAGAGCUGUGAAAAUAAAAGUCUGUUGUGUACGAGCCUUCCAGUCUCUGGUAUUCGGUUACAGUUGGCCACACUGGACAAAGACAACACACACACACACACACACACACACACACACACACACACCCAUUCCGGAGUGAUGGGACCUUACACUUACUCUUUGUGCCUCCAAUCAUGCUGUGCUGUGCUCCCUUCCCUGUGCCCCUGGUGGGGACACACCUGCAGGAGACACACCCCAGUGUCUGGGGGGGUGUGUGUGCACACGCUUAGGGGCACUCCGGCAUGGCUGUGUGCAAUCCUGCGGCGGUCUGCCCUCCCGGCCGGGUGGGGAGCCCUGUUGCCGCAAGCUCACACCUGCCCUUGCUCCUGUCUGACCUUCUGGGUCCU
Molecule: long non-coding RNA, 2094 nt
Organism: Felis catus (domestic cat)
Lineage: Eukaryota; Metazoa; Chordata; Mammalia; Carnivora; Felidae
Exons: 6
Source: RefSeq, a predicted model, not a curated record